GACGAACGCUGGCGGCGUGCCUAAUACAUGCAAGUAGAACGCUGAAGAGAGGAGCUUGCUCUUCUUGGAUGAGUUGCGAACGGGUGAGUAACGCGUAGGUAACCUGCCUUGUAGCGGGGGAUAACUAUUGGAAACGAUAGCUAAUACCGCAUAACAAUGGAUGACACAUGUCAUUUAUUUGAAAGGGGCAAUUGCUCCACUACAAGAUGGACCUGCGUUGUAUUAGCUAGUAGGUGAGGUAACGGCUCACCUAGGCGACGAUACAUAGCCGACCUGAGAGGGUGAUCGGCCACACUGGGACUGAGACACGGCCCAGACUCCUACGGGAGGCAGCAGUAGGGAAUCUUCGGCAAUGGGGGCAACCCUGACCGAGCAACGCCGCGUGAGUGAAGAAGGUUUUCGGAUCGUAAAGCUCUGUUGUAAGUCAAGAACGAGUGUGAGAGUGGAAAGUUCACACUGUGACGGUAGCUUACCAGAAAGGGACGGCUAACUACGUGCCAGCAGCCGCGGUAAUACGUAGGUCCCGAGCGUUGUCCGGAUUUAUUGGGCGUAAAGCGAGCGCAGGCGGUUUGAUAAGUCUGAAGUUAAAGGCUGUGGCUCAACCAUAGUUCGCUUUGGAAACUGUCAAACUUGAGUGCAGAAGGGGAGAGUGGAAUUCCAUGUGUAGCGGUGAAAUGCGUAGAUAUAUGGAGGAACACCGGUGGCGAAAGCGGCUCUCUGGUCUGUAACUGACGCUGAGGCUCGAAAGCGUGGGGAGCGAACAGGAUUAGAUACCCUGGUAGUCCACGCCGUAAACGAUGAGUGCUAGGUGUUGGAUCCUUUCCGGGAUUCAGUGCCGCAGCUAACGCAUUAAGCACUCCGCCUGGGGAGUACGACCGCAAGGUUGAAACUCAAAGGAAUUGACGGGGGCCCGCACAAGCGGUGGAGCAUGUGGUUUAAUUCGAAGCAACGCGAAGAACCUUACCAGGUCUUGACAUCCCGAUGCUAUUUCUAGAGAUAGAAAGUUACUUCGGUACAUCGGUGACAGGUGGUGCAUGGUUGUCGUCAGCUCGUGUCGUGAGAUGUUGGGUUAAGUCCCGCAACGAGCGCAACCCCUAUUGUUAGUUGCCAUCAUUCAGUUGGGCACUCUAGCGAGACUGCCGGUAAUAAACCGGAGGAAGGUGGGGAUGACGUCAAAUCAUCAUGCCCCUUAUGACCUGGGCUACACACGUGCUACAAUGGUUGGUACAACGAGUUGCGAGUCGGUGACGGCAAGCUAAUCUCUUAAAGCCAAUCUCAGUUCAGAUUGUAGGCUGCAACUCGCCUACAUGAAGUCGGAAUCGCUAGUAAUCGCGGAUCAGCACGCCGCGGUGAAUACGUUCCCGGGCCU
RNAcentral lists this ribosomal RNA (1369 nucleotides) under uncultured bacterium. RNAcentral describes it as "bacterial SSU rRNA". It matches the Rfam family "Bacterial small subunit ribosomal RNA", at positions 28 to 1381 of the family's 1533-position model. The record is from RNAcentral.